AUACCGAUCAUACCGCUAGGCGGCUUCAAGUACUCGCUAGUGCAAUAUACCCUAUCGACUAUAUAUACCUGUCAAUCUGAAUAAUUGAUUAACAGUUUCUUUACUACAUAAGGGUGUUAUUUUACAUUCUUAUUUUUAUAUUUUGUGUAGUAUAUUGAAAAAGACAUUAUGUCUAGUGUGUUGUAUACGUGUUUGUAUUGUGUGGCUGUUCAUCCCUACCCUCUUCCGGAAUUAAUCAUUAUCCGGGAUAAAGCCACUUGAAUGCGGAUUCGAAAGACUCGGAUGCGCUGGUAAUCGGCGGCUGCCAUUCAGAACCUGGCGGCUUGUGAACUGGUCAGAGUGUGUCUGGUACUAGCCCAGACCGCGUGCCGGAUCAACGAUAUUUUACAUCGAGCACAGAACCCGCUUUCAUGGCAUUCCCAGAGGAUUGGAACCUGACACCACGUCAUACAUCAUAGUACACCGUCGAAUACCCAGGCUGUUAACCCGAAGCACAAGUUAGAUACGAUGUAGGUUUCCCGUGGCCUCCUACUUGUCGAAUAAACUAUGAAGCCUGUCAGUCACACCA
Long non-coding RNA from Apis cerana (Asiatic honeybee), 568 nucleotides. RefSeq lists it as uncharacterized. Lineage: Eukaryota; Metazoa; Arthropoda; Insecta; Hymenoptera; Apidae. The record is from RefSeq and is a predicted model, not a curated record.